Molecule: ribosomal RNA, 462 nt
Filed under: Citrobacter rodentium
Lineage: Bacteria; Pseudomonadati; Pseudomonadota; Gammaproteobacteria; Enterobacterales; Enterobacteriaceae
Description: bacterial SSU rRNA
Rfam family: Bacterial small subunit ribosomal RNA
Source: RNAcentral
AAGACCAAAGAGGGGGACCUUCGGGCCUCUUGCCACCGGAUGUGCCCAGAUGGGAUUAGCUUGUUGGUGAGGUAACGGCUCACCAAGGCGACGAUCCCUAGCUGGUCUGAGAGGAUGACCAGCCACACUGGAACUGAGACACGGUCCAGACUCCUACGGGAGGCAGCAGUGGGGAAUAUUGCACAAUGGGCGCAAGCCUGAUGCAGCCAUGCCGCGUGUAUGAAGAAGGCCUUCGGGUUGUAAAGUACUUUCAGCGGGGAGGAAGGGAUUGUGGUUAAUAACCGCAGUCAUUGACGUUACCCGCAGAAGAAGCACCGGCUAACUCCGUGCCAGCAGCCGCGGUAAUACGGAGGGUGCAAGCGUUAAUCGGAAUUACUGGGCGUAAAGCGCACGCAGGCGGUCUGUCAAGUCGGAUGUGAAAUCCCCGGGCUCAACCUGGGAACUGCAUUCGAAACUGGCAGG